UUGAUAAGAGUUAUAAGACAUGGAUUUUGCAUGGAGAACAAGUUCUUAAUUGGGGACAAGGACGAGAGUAUUAAUACUUUUGACGAAGAUGAUUACAUGAUGUAAGUGCUUCACCAAAAGGUUGUGUGGAAUGUGGGUAUUAUGUAAUGAGAUUCAUGAGAAAGUUUAAUACUAAGAACCCUUUUACCCAAGAAGAACUCAAUGAGAUAGGAGUUGAGUGAGAGAAGCAUGUGUCGGACUACACUUGAAAGGUUUGUAUGGUGCUACGACAUGUAUUUUUGUUUGGCUUUCUCUCUAACUUUUGGUAUCCCUUAGACAUUUUGUGCAAACUUUGUUUGAUUGUAAAGCUGUUGGAGAGUUUUCAAGAAAUUUUGGUAGAUUAUAGGCAUUUUGUGUAGUUUUGAAAUAAUAUUGUGUAGCAUUAUUUAGUUGUCAAGCUG
This is a long non-coding RNA of Benincasa hispida (wax gourd), 440 nucleotides long. RefSeq lists it as uncharacterized. Lineage: Eukaryota; Viridiplantae; Streptophyta; Magnoliopsida; Cucurbitales; Cucurbitaceae. The record is from RefSeq and is a predicted model, not a curated record.